UUAUAAGCAUAGAACAAGUGAAAUUUUGUCGAGAGCACUGAUCAAAAUGAUGGAUCAUCGCGAGACGUAUUAUUUAUCGCGAGUGUUUGUGAUUAACUGUGCCACAGGCAUGUUUGAAUGAGUGUACGAUUUAUUUUCCAUUAAAUGUAGCAUUUGUUCCUUAAAAAACAUAGUGUUGUUGCAUUUACAUAUAUGAUGAUCUCCGCGUUACCGCUAAAACAUUCAUUCGCCUGGCAUGUUCCGAGUGUGGAUGUCCCCAUGUGGAUGUUACAACGUAAUGUAUGUGUGUAGAUAAAAUUGUAUGCAUGUCAUGUUUUAGCAGUGAAAUUUUCGUCGUAGCAAAUUUGCCAUGUAAAUCCGUUACAAAGUAAAAUGCGCGAGUUGAUUUCUAUUCAACAGGGUGUGUAAUUAAUUAAAUCCAGCUUUUUAAUAUUCAUCAAUUCUUUGAAGGAGACAAUACGGUUAGCGGUACAUUUUAAGAUGGAAUUUGUAGCCGGUGAAACAAACUGCAAUAUCCUAGCUUAUACAGCUGAAGGUGUAUUUAGCUAAGAUACAACGACUGGAGCACAAUGGUACAAGAUAAAGAUGUGGAUAUAGCAACAUUAAAAUAUAAAAAAUUUUGUCAAUUUUUAAGAAAAAAAAUAGAAAUGUUAAUUGUAAGAAAAUCUAUUUACACUUGCUACACAACCAUUGCACCUUUUCAAAAUUUAACUUUAGAGGGAAAUAACUCCUCUUUCUUGCCAAAGGAGUUAAGUGUUUUACCUCAUCUUCAGUAUAUUGAGUUAUUACACAAUUACCUAAGAUCCACUCGAUAUACAUGGGAAUGGCUGAAGCUAUCUCCCAUUAGAAACAAUUUAUUAUGCUUAAACAUAAAUUACAAUUUUUUGACUAAAUUACCAUUGCAAAUUAUUCGUUUGAAAAAUAUAACAAAAUUUAAGCUUAAGCAAUAACGAAAUUAUUUGCUUAUCAAUAGAGUUUGGUACUUUGCCUCCAAUGAUGCUUGAUCUAUCUCAUAAUUAUCUUGGAAAGUUUGCUGAACUUAGUUGGAUGUGGUUAGAGCAAACUCGCAUAAGAAAUACUUUAUUAAGUUUAAAUAUAUGUCACAAUUUUUUAACUGAAUUACCAUUACAAAUUGGAAAGCUAAAUAUUUUAUCAAGUUUGUUAUGUGACCAAAAUAUGCUAAAACACUUACCACAAAAUUU
Linepithema humile (Argentine ant) is the source of this 1202-nucleotide non-coding RNA. NCBI's taxonomy places the organism in Eukaryota, Metazoa, Arthropoda, Insecta, Hymenoptera, Formicidae. The record is from RefSeq and is a predicted model, not a curated record.